AACGCUAGCUACAGGCUUAACACAUGCAAGUCGAGGGGAAACGAUAUUGGAAGCUUGCUUCCGAUAGGCGUCGACCGGCGCACGGGUGAGUAACGCGUAUCCAACCUGCCCACCACUUGGGGAUAACCUUGCGAAAGUAAGACUAAUACCCAAUGAUAUCUCUAGAAGGCAUCUGAAAGGGAUUAAAGAUUUAUCGGUGAUGGAUGGGGAUGCGUCUGAUUAGCUUGUUGGCGGGGUAACGGCCCACCAAGGCGACGAUCAGUAGGGGUUCUGAGAGGAAGGUCCCCCACAUUGGAACUGAGACACGGUCCAAACUCCUACGGGAGGCAGCAGUGAGGAAUAUUGGUCAAUGGGCGAGAGCCUGAACCAGCCAAGUAGCGUGCAGGAUGACGGCCCUAUGGGUUGUAAACUGCUUUUAUAAGGGAAUAAAGUGAGUCUCGUGAGACUUUUUGCAUGUACCUUAUGAAUAAGGACCGGCUAAUUCCGUGCCAGCAGCCGCGGUAAUACGGAAGGUCCGGGCGUUAUCCGGAUUUAUUGGGUUUAAAGGGAGCGUAGGCCGGAGAUUAAGCGUGUUGUGAAAUGUAGACGCUCAACGUCUGCACUGCAGCGCGAACUGGUUUCCUUGAGUACGCACAAAGUGGGCGGAAUUCGUGGUGUAGCGGUGAAAUGCUUAGAUAUCACGAAGAACUCCGAUUG
This 696-nucleotide ribosomal RNA is filed under the name uncultured bacterium. RNAcentral's name for it is "bacterial SSU rRNA". It matches the Rfam family "Bacterial small subunit ribosomal RNA", at positions 32 to 715 of the family's 1533-position model. The record is from RNAcentral.